UCGGGAAUUUUGGGCAAUGGGCGAAAGCCUGACCCAGCAACGCCGCGUGAAGGAUGAAGUAUUUCGGUAUGUAAACUUCGUAAGAAUAGGAAGAAUAAAUGACGGUACUAUUUGUAAGGUCCGGCUAACUACGUGCCAGCAGCCGCGGUAAUACGUAGGGACCAAGCGUUGUUCGGAUUUACUGGGCGUAAAGGGCGCGUAGGCGGUGUGUCAAGUCAGUUGUGAAAUCUCCGAGCUUAACUCGGAACGGUCAACUGAUACUGUCACACUAGAGUACAGAAGGGGCAAUCGGAAUUCUUGGUGUAGCGGUGAAAUGCGUAGAUAUCAAGAGGAACACCUGAGGUGAAGACGGGUUGCUGGGCUGACACUGACGCUGAGGCGCGAAAGCCAGGGGAGCAAACGGGAUUAGAUACCCACGUAGUCCCUGAGCGGGCUGGCAAGGCGCAU
This 447-nucleotide ribosomal RNA is filed under the name uncultured bacterium. RNAcentral's name for it is "bacterial SSU rRNA". It matches the Rfam family "Bacterial small subunit ribosomal RNA", at positions 355 to 825 of the family's 1533-position model. The record is from RNAcentral.